Molecule: long non-coding RNA, 254 nt
Filed under: Arabidopsis lyrata
Lineage: Eukaryota; Viridiplantae; Streptophyta; Magnoliopsida; Brassicales; Brassicaceae
Description: long non-coding RNA (ALYR_LNC001404)
Source: RNAcentral
GUUUUAUUGCAUGAAAUGUAAUUUAAAGAUGCAGUAUGGUGCUCCAUUCUCGAACAUAUAGUGCUCCGAUCCAAACUAUUUGGCGAGAACGGAACUCAAGAAAUUCAUCGAGCAGGUGGUGAGCGGUCCAACUCAGAAGUGGCUGGUCGGAUUCAGCUGUCCUCACCCGACUCAUUGCAGGGUGAUGCGCAACCGUAUCCGAUAUCUCUUCUCUUCGCUACAAAGCUACACAUAAGUUAGAAGGCUUACUUCGU